AGAGGGAUAGUUGGAUCAAAUGGUAGCUCCAUUCCCAGAUUUCCAAGGAAUCUCCAUACUAUUUUCCAUAUUGGCUGUACCAAUUUGCAGUUCCACCAGCAAU
This 103-nucleotide microRNA precursor is filed under the name Marmota monax (woodchuck). The record is from RNAcentral. Lineage: Eukaryota; Metazoa; Chordata; Mammalia; Rodentia; Sciuridae.